AUCCAGGGAAUAAUCUUUAUUUCUUUUACUGGAUCUGGCAUUGGAGGGAAUUUCUUUUUGUUUGCGAAGCAUGUGUACAUGUUUGUCAUGAGUUCCAAGAAAAAACCCAUAGACCUUAUUCUUAUCCGCCUGGCUUUUACUAAUGCAAUGACACUUUGUGUCAGAGGAAUCUCAGAUGUAGUGUCAGCUUUUCAUUUCAGUAACUUCCUAGAUAAUGCUGGUUGUAAAACUACAAUUUAUUUAGGGAAGGUAGCUUGGGGCCUUUCCGUCUGCACCACCUGUCUCCUCAGUGUGGUACAGGCCAUCACCAUCAGUCCCAAGACCACCUCGUGGUCAAACUACGGACUGCCUGGCAAGUUCUUCCUUAUCUCUUCCUCUUUUGGAUCUUUAAUUUUCUGAUAAGCUCCAACUUGCUCUGCUACCUUAGAGCAGUUAAUAGCAUGAAUAGGUCUGAAAUUAGACCACAUAUUAGUUAUUGCUAUAUGCCACCAUCUAAGCAAAGGGAAAGUUUGGUGGGUUUUUCUCACUCUCAUGGCUCUUUGUGAUAUCAUCUUUCAGAGUCUCAUGGGCUGGAGAAGUGGGUCCAUGGCUUAUCAUCUGUAUAAACAUCACAAGCAUGUCUCCUGCCUUCAGAGCUCCAGGUUUGCAAAUAAUUCCAGCCCAGAGAUCAGAGCUACUCAAAGUACUCUCAUUCUCAUGACCUGUUUCCUUUCUUUUAUUGGGCAGAUUUUAUUUUCUCCUUCUACAUAGGUUCCAGCUUGACAAAUGAUUUUAUGAUAUUAAGUAUGAAAAUAUUUCUAACAGUUGGUUAUGCCUGUGCCAGUCCCUUCAUGCUGAUCAGCAGGGAUUCCAUUUGGUUAACUGCUGGCACACUCACUAAGAAGU
Molecule: long non-coding RNA, 885 nt
Filed under: Homo sapiens (human)
Lineage: Eukaryota; Metazoa; Chordata; Mammalia; Primates; Hominidae
Description: non-protein coding lnc-HIST1H2BJ-6:1
Source: RNAcentral